RNAcentral lists this transfer RNA (70 nucleotides) under Raja brachyura (blonde ray). RNAcentral describes it as "tRNA-Ile". Lineage: Eukaryota; Metazoa; Chordata; Chondrichthyes; Rajiformes; Rajidae. The record is from RNAcentral.
GGAAGCGUGCCUGAAUUAAAGGAUCACUUUGAUAGAGUGAAACAUGAGUGUUAAAAUCAUUCCACUUCCU